AUUCAUAUACCUGUUGAGGACAGAUCAAGUGAAUAUGGGAGUCGAUACCUCCUGCAGUGAGGAUGCUGUGUUCGCCCGCAAUGGUAUCAGUGCCAUUGCCCACAACCAUGUUGGGAUGGACACCGUUCAUGACGUCCGGGUUGCCAGCCUUGCCGAUGCCCACAAUGAUGCCGUCCUUGAUUCCAACAUCGGCCUUGUAUAUGCCAGACCAGUCGACGAUGAGGGCGUUAGUGAUGACCGUGUCGAGCACAUCGGCAUCUUUCCGAUCGGAUGCUUGCCCCAUCCCCUCUCGAAG
RNAcentral lists this small RNA (295 nucleotides) under Cladophialophora psammophila CBS 110553. Its description in RNAcentral is "5' ureB small RNA". It matches the Rfam family "5' ureB small RNA". Lineage: Eukaryota; Fungi; Ascomycota; Eurotiomycetes; Chaetothyriales; Herpotrichiellaceae. The record is from Rfam by way of RNAcentral.